This 215-nucleotide long non-coding RNA is filed under the name Elaeis guineensis (African oil palm). RNAcentral describes it as "long non-coding RNA (EGUI_LNC081797)". The record is from RNAcentral. Lineage: Eukaryota; Viridiplantae; Streptophyta; Magnoliopsida; Arecales; Arecaceae.
GACCAACACGAGAAGUCACAUGGAUGUCUGCUCAAUCGUUAGUGACUUUCUCGAUACUGCAGUUGUAUGACUGAUCCUUUGAUCUGAGGUGGUAUUACUGCUCGCAGUGAGGCUGCUGGAGUUUGACUGACACAUCAACAUAGGUCUCAAAGAGCCCUUGUAGUGGAUGUUGGCGACAGCUGAUCCAUUGUAGAAGUGGGGUAUGCAUCAAGAUG